GGGAGAUUAGUAUAAUGGUAGUACUACAGAUUCCAAACCUGUUUGCGUGGGUUCGAUUCCUACAUCUCUCG
RNAcentral lists this transfer RNA (71 nucleotides) under Mycoplasmopsis pulmonis UAB CTIP. Its description in RNAcentral is "Mycoplasma pulmonis UAB CTIP tRNA". It matches the Rfam family "tRNA". From Rfam's summary of the family: Transfer RNA (tRNA) molecules are approximately 80 nucleotides in length. The record is from Rfam by way of RNAcentral. Lineage: Bacteria; Bacillati; Mycoplasmatota; Mycoplasmoidales; Metamycoplasmataceae.